CACACUGGGACUGAGACACGGCCCAGACUCCUACGGGAGGCAGCAGUAGGGAAUCUUGCGCAAUGGGCGAAAGCCUGACGCAGCAACGCCGCGUGAGGGACGAAGGCUUUCUGAGUUGUAAACCUCUUUCAGCAGGGACGAUUGUGACGGUACCUGCAGAAGAAGCACCGGCCAACUACGUGCCAGCCGCCGCAGUAACAC
Molecule: ribosomal RNA, 201 nt
Filed under: uncultured bacterium
Lineage: Bacteria
Description: partial 16S ribosomal RNA
Rfam family: Bacterial small subunit ribosomal RNA
Source: RNAcentral